Molecule: long non-coding RNA, 1370 nt
Filed under: Gallus gallus (chicken)
Lineage: Eukaryota; Metazoa; Chordata; Aves; Galliformes; Phasianidae
Source: RNAcentral
UCAGCUUCAGCCUCAGCCUCGCGCUCCUUCCCUGAGCCGCGCCGAGGGGGUUCUCGCCGCCCCUCGCGGAGCCGGUCCGGGUGCGGCGGUCGCUGCGUGCGCUCGGUCCGCCGCAAUGAAGGCGGGCGGUGAGUGCGGGCCGCGCGGCUCUCCUUCGUUCCCGUCUUCGGCUCCGCGCGGGUCCCUCUGAGAGGGCUCUGCGGGCGGCCCGGGACGCGCGGCGGGAGGCUGCGGGAGGCUGUGGGGCCGCGGCGGGGCGGGGCGGGGCGGCGGUUGGCCCCGAGCCGCGGCGGGCGGAGAUGCGGCAGUGCCCGCUCCGUGCCGGCUGCCGCCGCUCCCUGCGGGGCCGUGAGCCUUCCCGGGCGUUGGGUGAUCGGCGAGAGGCGUUACGCGCCUCCGCCGGAAGGCUGCCGUGAGGAAAAACGCGACGGAGCGCUGUUGGCCGCCUGCGAACGGUGCGAUCCCUCCCUGAGCGCUCCGCUUUCGCUGUGGGAGCGGCGGCUGAGCGCUGCGUCGCGGCCCGGCGCCUCUCGCCCUGCCGAGGCCGUGCGCUUCGUCCCUGCUUCCAGUCCUGGUUUGGAUUCCUGCUGCUCGCUUGCCGACUUGCAGCGGGCUUUGGGGCUCCCGAGUGCAGGCAGAGCCCGGCUGCUCGCGGCAGCCGUCGCCCUGUGCCGUCCCAGCGGAUGGACGGCCGGCCGGCCGGCGGGAGGGGCUUCGGGCCCCUUUUCUGUCUUCCGCCGGCGUGACUCGUGUGUUCUUCCUGGCUUCGCCUCACCUCCUCGGUCGUUUGCCUCUCUUGGCUGCCGUGCUGAGGGUAAGCUCUCCAGCAGGAAAGGAAGGCUGGUGCAGGCAGCGCCCCGGUCUGUGAGCGCGGCGAGCGGUUCGCUGCCGCUGUUCCAGAUGCUUCUGUUUCCCUUCCAAGCGAAGGCUAAGGGAACGGCCCCGCGUCCUGCCGUUGCUAAGUGUGCCCGAGGAUGCUGUGCUUCAUGCUGUGCCUUCGCCUUCCUGCUGAGGAGCUCCUCUGGCUCGGAGCGGUGAGUGCCGGCCCCUCCUGCAGUGCGCUGCCUUAUUUCUGCCCCCGGGAGCCAGAACUGCAGGCGGGAACGCCUGCGUCCGCGGAGGCGUGAGGAGAGCCAAAAAAACCAUGCAGUAGGUAGCUAUUUGCUGGCCUAGCGGUCAGCUUGCUCACUACUGCAACCUCCAAGACUGGCAGCAGUAUUUGUGUGUUUUGUGUCGAGUUUCUGUGGGGAUGGUCCUUCCGGCUCCCCGUGACUGGCAAAGUGAAUUUGGUUUGGCGUCUCUUGCUGUAGUGAUGGCUAGCCAGGGAAGGAGCUGUGAUUAAUGAGCUCCCUACCUAAAAUUCAAUGGUG